Molecule: transfer RNA, 61 nt
Filed under: Manacus vitellinus (golden-collared manakin)
Lineage: Eukaryota; Metazoa; Chordata; Aves; Passeriformes; Pipridae
Rfam family: tRNA
About the family: Transfer RNA (tRNA) molecules are approximately 80 nucleotides in length. Their secondary structure includes four short double-helical elements and three loops (D, anti-codon, and T loops). Further hydrogen bonds mediate the characteristic L-shaped molecular structure. tRNAs have two regions of fundamental functional importance: the anti-codon, which is responsible for specific mRNA codon recognition, and the 3' end, to which the tRNAs corresponding amino acid is attached (by aminoacyl-tRNA synthetases). tRNAs cope with the degeneracy of the genetic code in two manners: having more than one tRNA (with a specific anti-codon) for a particular amino acid; and 'wobble' base-pairing, i.e. permitting non-standard base-pairing at the 3rd anti-codon position.
Source: Rfam by way of RNAcentral
UUAGCUCAGUUGGUCAGAGCUUGGAGCUGUUAACACCAGGGGCAUGGGUUUGAUCCCCGUA